RNAcentral lists this long non-coding RNA (628 nucleotides) under Bemisia tabaci. RNAcentral's name for it is "lncRNA ENSSSA2NGG011372". Lineage: Eukaryota; Metazoa; Arthropoda; Insecta; Hemiptera; Aleyrodidae. The record is from RNAcentral.
AAAGAGCAGUGCUUGCUGAGUAAUUAAUGCCAAAAAGACAUCUUAUCUCAACAUUGUUUUUUUCUCUCUCUCUCUCUCUUACAGAUGGCGAUGUCAUAAUGUAAAUACUUUUGUAACUACCAAUAAUGAAUACACCAAUUAUAAUAGAAGUAUUUUCUCUAAUGAUCGAAUUAUUUAUUUUGAUAUGGAUUUACCUUAUUUUUCUAAAAAAGCAAUGAAAACUGAGUUUAAUCGAAAGCGGAAAGCAAGUAUGGUUGAAGAUUAUGUAGAUGACGAUGAUGAGAGCAGAGACUGGUGGACUAAAUAUUUCGCAUCUGUGGAAGCUACGAUCGAGGAAGGUAAAGAGGCAAGAAAGGAAAAUGUAUUGCAGACCAAUGGUGGACUUUACGCUGAUCACCCUGAUGCUGCUCAGCCAAAAAAUACAAAGCAUAAUAAAUUAGGCCCCAGCACAGCUGCCAAAUUAGUCGCUAAAUUGAGUCCGAAAACAAUCCAACGGAAGCAAGCGAAAAAAAUUGCAAAAAUAAAGGCAAGUACUCGAACAUCUUCCUCCGUGCUAGAACAACGCCGUAUGAGGCAUCAGGCGUUGCCAAAUUACCUCCGAAAAACGACGAAUUUUCAGGAAAAUUUG